This 923-nucleotide ribosomal RNA is filed under the name uncultured Bacteroidota bacterium. RNAcentral describes it as "bacterial SSU rRNA". It matches the Rfam family "Bacterial small subunit ribosomal RNA", at positions 1 to 916 of the family's 1533-position model. The record is from RNAcentral. Lineage: Bacteria; Pseudomonadati; Bacteroidota.
GGUCCAGACUUUGAUUAUGGCUCAGGAUGAACGCUAGCUACAGGCUUAACACAUGCAAGUCGAGGGGCAGCGGUAUCGGAAGCUUGCUUUCGGUAGCCGGCGACCGGCGCACGGGUGAGUAACGCGUAUCGAACCUGCCUCAUACUCGGGAAUAGCCUUGCGAAAGUAAGAUUAAUGCCCGGUGUUUUCAGAGUCCCGCAUGAGGCUUUGAACAAAGAUUUAUCGGUAUGAGAUGGCGAUGCGUCCCAUUAGCUUGUUGGCGGGGUAACGGCCCACCAAGGCAUCGAUGGGUAGGGGUUCUGAGAGGAAGGUCCCCCACAUUGGAACUGAGACACGGUCCAAACUCCUACGGGAGGCAGCAGUGAGGAAUAUUGGUCAAUGGGCGGAAGCCUGAACCAGCCAAGUAGCGUGCAGGAAGACGGCCCUCCGGGUUGUAAACUGCUUUUAGUUGGGAAUAAAACGGGGCUCGUGAGCCCCCUUGCAUGUACCAUCAGAAAAAGGACCGGCUAAUUCCGUGCCAGCGGCCGCGGUAAUACGGAAGGUCCGGGCGUUAUCCGGAUUUAUUGGGUUUAAAGGGAGCGCAGGCGGACCUUUAAGUCAGCUGUGAAAUACGGCGGCUCAACCGUCGAACUGCAGUUGAUACUGGAGGUCUUGAGUGCACACAGGGAUGCUGGAAUUCAUGGUGUAGCGGUGAAAUGCUCAGAUAUCAUGAAGAACUCCGAUCGCGAAGGCAGGCAUCCGGGGUGCAACUGACGCUGAGGCUCGAAAGUGCGGGUAUCAAACAGGAUUAGAUACCCUGGUAGUCCGCACAGUAAACGAUGAAUACUCGCGGUUUGCGAUACAGUGUAAGCCGCCAAGCGAAAGCGUUAAGUAUUCCACCUGGGGAGUACGCCGGCAACGGUGCAACUCAAAGGAAUUGACGG